This 547-nucleotide ribosomal RNA is filed under the name Thalassionema sp. 3BOF. RNAcentral's name for it is "eukaryotic LSU rRNA". It matches the Rfam family "Eukaryotic large subunit ribosomal RNA", at positions 364 to 1006 of the family's 3401-position model. Lineage: Eukaryota; Bacillariophyta; Fragilariophyceae; Thalassionematales; Thalassionemataceae. The record is from RNAcentral.
AUGCAAAGAACUUUGAAAAGAGAGUUAAAGAGUACCUGAAAUUGCUGAAAUGGAAGCGAAGGAAACCAGUGUUUUGCGUGUCAUAUUUCUCCGUUCGCUUGCGGUCGGAGCGCUGUGGCCGCAGUGGUCAGGGCUCUUUGCUUAGUGUGCAAUCAGCACGGUUUGCGAAGGGGUCUGACGAAAUGGUUUUCUUUACCCCGUCUUGAAACACGGACCAAGGAGUCUAACAUAUGUGCGAGUACAGAGGUGUCAAACCUCGGUGCGUAAUGAAAGUGACAGUGGUUGUAUUUUUGCCCAAUCCGCCGGCCUCAAUCCCUCGGGAGAACGGUCUGAGUGUGAGCAUUUAUGUUGGGACCCGAAAGAUGGUGAACUAUGCCUGAAUAGGGUAAAGCCAGGGGAAACUCUGGUGGAGGCUCGUAGCGAUUCUGACGUGCAAAUCGAUCGUCAAAUUUGGGUAUAGGGGCGAAAGACUAAUCGAACCAUACUAGUAGCUGGUUUCCUCCGAAAUUUCCCUCAGGAUAGCUGCGAUCAUUAUGCAAUUUUAUCA